Molecule: ribosomal RNA, 253 nt
Filed under: uncultured bacterium
Lineage: Bacteria
Description: partial 16S ribosomal RNA
Rfam family: Bacterial small subunit ribosomal RNA
Source: RNAcentral
UACGUAGGGUGCGAGCGUUAAUCGGAAUUACUGGGCGUAAAGCGUGCGCAGGCGGUUUUGUAAGCCAGGUGUGAAAUCCCCGGGCUCAACCUGGGAAUGGCAUUUGGGACUGCAAGGCUGGAGUGCGGCAGAGGAGACUGGAAUUCCUGGUGUAGCAGUGAAAUGCGUAGAUAUCAGGAGGAACACCGACGGCGUAGGCAGCGCCCUGGACGACACCUGACGCUGAGGCACGAAAGCUGGGGGAGCAAACAGG